This 660-nucleotide unclassified non-coding RNA is filed under the name Hevea brasiliensis (rubber tree). The record is from RNAcentral. Lineage: Eukaryota; Viridiplantae; Streptophyta; Magnoliopsida; Malpighiales; Euphorbiaceae.
AAUAUCCACAUCACCUUCUGAAGUCAUCCCCUCUCCAACAGAACACAAGAUUUUCUCCACUUCAUUAUCCUGGGCGAGUUCAUUUGCUGUGCUUGAAUUUCGGUUUGGAGAGGCUCUUGAUUUAUUAUCAGUACUGUCAUAAGAAAUACACAACUCAGUCUCUGAGUUUAGUGUCAUUCGACCAAGAUGGUCAACAUUGUUUUCUUGCUUCUGAAAAUUUUCAUUGGCAGAAAAUCUCAUCUGUGCAGUAACAAGGCUUUGCUCCCAAUCCCUUCCAGGACUGCCAAUGGGAGAGAAAUUGUACUCAGGAAGAGAAAGAAUCCUCCCUAGGGUUCUUGGAACCUGUGUGCUUGAAAAAUCCACAUCCCCAAUCCCAGUGGGAAGCAUCUCAGAGAGAUGCUUCUUGGCCUGGACAUAAAUGUUAGAUAAUCUUUCCUUGGGAUAAGUAGCAGCUUCAUGCUUCAAACCUGUUUCACAUUCUUUCAACUUGUCAUUCUUCUCUUCCUUUUUGACACCAGUUGGAGGCCUGGCAAUUUUUUCAAUAAAGAAGUGGUCCUUACUUGGAGAACUUCCAACAUUCUCUUUAUAUCUUUUAUCACUAUCUCCCCUAGCUUGAAGUUUGUUAGGUAAUCUCUUUGAAAUGCCAUCAGAAGCGAUCUC